GAGGACCGAGAUCUGACAAUAGGGUGAAUUUAUUAGAACAGAGUGGAAGAUACACACCACUGAACACGAGCAGAGCAGAAAUAUAUGUUGCAAUAAAAGACAAGGGGUUACUAACACCGCCAAAACAGAUUAUAGGGGGAUUGGGCGGAAGUGCUCACCACAAGUAUUGCGAGUUUCACAAGGUGACCAGACAUGGAACUGUGGAUUGCAUUGACUUGAAAGAACAGAUUGAAUAGCUAGUGCAAAAUCAAUAUCUAAAGGAGUAUGUGGAUGACCAAGGAAGAGGUGGGAGAAGAGGAGACAUCAUAGAUAAUGUAGCGAUGAUGAUUAUGGAAGGGCCGACCUUAGCAGAAGACUCAAACCGCUCAAGGAGAAAUUAUAGCAGAUAUUCAUU
RNAcentral lists this long non-coding RNA (394 nucleotides) under Citrus sinensis (sweet orange). RNAcentral's name for it is "long non-coding RNA (CSIN_LNC005393)". Lineage: Eukaryota; Viridiplantae; Streptophyta; Magnoliopsida; Sapindales; Rutaceae. The record is from RNAcentral.